RNAcentral lists this ribosomal RNA (460 nucleotides) under uncultured bacterium. RNAcentral's name for it is "partial 16S ribosomal RNA". It matches the Rfam family "Bacterial small subunit ribosomal RNA", at positions 338 to 795 of the family's 1533-position model. The record is from RNAcentral.
CCUACGGGUGGCAGCAGUGAGGAAUAUUGGUCAAUGGACGAGAGUCUGAACCAGCCAAGUAGCGUGAAGGAUGACUGCCCUAUGGGUUGUAAACUUCUUUUAUAUGGGAAUAAACUGUUCCACGUGUGGGAUUUUGUAUGUACCAUAUGAAUAAGGAUCGGCUAACUCCGUGCCAGCAGCCGCGGUAAUACGGAGGAUCCGAGCGUUAUCCGGAUUUAUUGGGUUUAAAGGGAGCGUAGGUGGAUUGUUAAGGCAGUUGUGAAAGUUUGCGGCGCAACCGUAAAAUUGCAGUUGAAACUGGCAGUCUUGAGUACAGUAGAGGUGGGCGGAAUUCGUGGUGUAGCGGUGAAAUGCUUAGAUAUCACGAAGAACUCCGAUUGCGAAGGCAGUUCACUGGACUGCAACUGACACUGAGGCUCGAAAGUGUGGGUAUCAAACAGGAUUAGAUACCCUUGUAGUC